GUGGGCUCUGCCUGUCCCCACCCCCACCUGGGGCCUCAUACCAUCCCACUAUCAUGGGUAGUGCCUACCACUGGGAGGCCCGGCGCCGGCAGAUGGCUUUGGACCGAAGGAGAUGGCUGAUGGCCCAGCAGCAGCAGGAGCUGCAGCAGAAAGAACAGGAACUGAAGAAUCACCAGGAGGAAGAACAACAAUCGGAGGAAAAACUCCAGCCACAUAAGAAGUUAAAUGUGCCGCAACCACCAGUGGCGAAAUUGUGGACAUCACAGGAGCAACCACAGCCAUCACAGCAGCAGCCAUCAGUGCAGCCACCAUCACAGCCACCACCACAGCCAUCAACAUUGCCACAGGCACAGGUGUGGCCAGGGCCACAGCCACCACAACCACAGCCACCACCUCAGCCAACACAACCAAGUGCUCAAGCCCGUUGUACUCAGCACACCUCCAAAUGCAAUCUCCAGGAUUCCCAAAGGCCAGGUCACCAGCCUACUUCAGCGGGGAUCUACUAAGCUGGAGGGCAAUCUCUGUAUCAACAACAGAUUCCAGGGUCUCAUGAACCCAUGCCAAUCUAGCCCCAUCAGAAACACUGGGUAUUCACAACUCAAGUCUACCAAUUACAUACAGCAGUGGUGAUCCAGAGAUUGAACCCAGGACCCCAUGGCCAUCCCCAAAAUGCAGAUGAGCAACCACAUCUUCUCAGCAUCCAGCAAUAUCUCCACUCCAAAAGCCACCCACUCUAGAAGAGGAGGCUGCCAGGAAUAAAAUGUAAUUUUUUUCCUGGGAAG
RNAcentral lists this long non-coding RNA (782 nucleotides) under Homo sapiens (human). Its description in RNAcentral is "long non-coding RNA NONHSAT176233.1". The record is from RNAcentral. Lineage: Eukaryota; Metazoa; Chordata; Mammalia; Primates; Hominidae.